AUGAUUGAGAGAGCCCACAAGAGACAAGCCUCCCAGAUCACCUGGCUCAAGACGGGGGACGCCCAUACUGCUUUCUUUCAAGCCAAGAUCAACUCGCGCAUGCGGAAGAACUUCAUUCACUCCCUAGAGACUGACAAUGAUGUUGUUACUGCACAUAUGAAGAAGGCCUCUGUUGCACACAUGCAUUUCUCCAACUUGCUGGGAAGAAAAGAGGAUAGAAAGUGCUCGAUAAACUGGGAGGAGCCGCACACGCCCACAACCCAAAAUGAGGGGCUCGACAACCCAUUCACUGAAGCUAAAGUUUGGGCUGCAAUCUUUGCAUCGCCGGCGGACUGGGCACCUGGCCCUAAUGGGUUCUCAGGCAUGUGUUUUCAGAAGCUGCUGGGGCAUGAUAAGGCCUUGUUCAGUCAUCUCUACAGGCUCGCCGGUGGAAACUUUGCUCACCUGAACAUGGCUAUGAUUGCCUUGCUCCCAAAGAAAGAUGGUGUUGUCAAAACAAGUGAUUUCAGGCCAAUUAGCUUCAUCCACUCUAUUGCAAAGCUGUUCUCAAGAGUCCUGUCCAUUCGGCUAGCUAAUGCCAUUGACAAGCUGAUCAACCCAGCACAAACAACAUUUUAG
Molecule: ribosomal RNA, 618 nt
Filed under: Triticum aestivum (bread wheat)
Lineage: Eukaryota; Viridiplantae; Streptophyta; Magnoliopsida; Poales; Poaceae
Description: partial small subunit ribosomal RNA
Source: RNAcentral